This 110-nucleotide ribosomal RNA is filed under the name Paramormyrops kingsleyae. The record is from RNAcentral. Lineage: Eukaryota; Metazoa; Chordata; Actinopteri; Osteoglossiformes; Mormyridae.
UUCAGCAGCCGCAACGCCUCAAACCAGGUAAUCCAUCUGAAGCUAGCUAGUUUGGGCCUGGCCAGUACUUAGAUGGGAGACCAACUAGGAAAGCUGGGCUGCUGCUGGGA